GAUGAACGCUGGCGGCGUGCCUAAUACAUGCAAGUCGAGCGAACGGACGAGAAGCUUGCUUCUCUGAUGUUAGCGGCGGACGGGUGAGUAACACGUGGAUAACCUACCUAUAAGACUGGGAUAACUUCGGGAAACCGGAGCUAAUACCGGAUAAUAUUUUGAACCGCAUGGUUCAAAAGUGAAAGACGGUCUUGCUGUCACUUAUAGAUGGAUCCGCGCUGCAUUAGCUAGUUGGUAAGGUAACGGCCUACCAAGGCAACGAUGCAUAGCCGACCGGAGAGGAGGAUCAGCCGCAUGUGAACGGACACCGGGGCCUGACGACUACGGGAGGCAGCAGUGUGGCAUAUGGGACAAUGGUCUCAAACUUGACACAAGCAUACCGAGGGGAAGAAGAAGGGCGUCGGGUCGUAAAGCCCUUUUAUCGGGGAAAAACAGCAGCAGGCCAAUACCCCGCGGUCCGGACGCCACCCAAAGAAGAAGCACCGGCGAACCACGUG
RNAcentral lists this ribosomal RNA (497 nucleotides) under uncultured bacterium. RNAcentral describes it as "partial 16S ribosomal RNA". It matches the Rfam family "Bacterial small subunit ribosomal RNA", at positions 28 to 507 of the family's 1533-position model. The record is from RNAcentral.